GAUGAACGCUAGCGGCAGGCUUAACACAUGCAAGUCGAGGGGCAGCGGGGAGGAAGCUUGCUUUCUCCGCCGGCGACCGGCGCACGGGUGAGUAACACGUAUGCAACCUGGCCGUCACAGGUGGAUAACCGGAAGAAAUUCCGACUAAUACAGCAUAACACUCCUGAGGGACAUCCUUCGGGAGUCAAAGGAGGCGACUCCGGUGACGGAUGGGCAUGCGGCGCAUUAGGUAGUUGGUAGGGUAACGGCCUACCAAGCCGACGAUGCGUAGGGGUUCUGAGAGGAAGGUCCCCCACAUUGGAACUGAGACACGGUCCAA
Molecule: ribosomal RNA, 319 nt
Filed under: uncultured bacterium
Lineage: Bacteria
Description: bacterial SSU rRNA
Rfam family: Bacterial small subunit ribosomal RNA
Source: RNAcentral